AUUGAACGCUGGCGGCAGGCCUAACACAUGCAAGUCGAGCGGAUGAAGGGAGCUUGCUCCUGGAUUCAGCGGCGGACGGGUGAGUAAUGCCUAGGAAUCUGCCCGGUAGUGGGGGAUAACGUCCGGAAACGGGCGCUAAUACCGCAUACGUCCUGAGGGAGAAAGUGGGGGAUCUUCGGACCUCACGCUAUCAGAUGAGCCUAGGUCGGAUUAGCUAGUUGGUGGGGUAAAGGCCUACCAAGGCGACGAUCCGUAACUGGUCUGAGAGGAUGAUCAGUCACACUGGAACUGAGACACGGUCCAGACUCCUACGGGAGGCAGCAGUGGGGAAUAUUGGACAAUGGGCGAAAGCCUGAUCCAGCCAUGCCGCGUGUGUGAAGAAGGUCUUCGGAUUGUAAAGCACUUUAAGUUGGGAGGAAGGGCAGUAAGUUAAUACCUUGCUGUUUUGACGUUACCAACGGAAUAAGCACCGGCUAACUUCGUG
Molecule: ribosomal RNA, 484 nt
Filed under: uncultured bacterium
Lineage: Bacteria
Description: partial 16S ribosomal RNA
Rfam family: Bacterial small subunit ribosomal RNA
Source: RNAcentral